CUUACCAGGUCCAGACACAGUUAGGAUUGACAGAUUGAAAGCUCUUUCUUUAUUCUGUGGGUGGUGGUGCAUGGCCGUUCUUAGUUGGUGGAGUGAUUUGUCUGGUUAAUUCCGAUAACGAACGAGACCUCAGCCUAUUAAUUAAAUAAAAGAAUAUAAGCAAUUAUAAGGGUUAAAUAAAAUUUAAUUCAAUACUUUUAGUGUUGGAUUAUUUUAUUUAAAACUUGUUUAUAUUUAUUUUUAUUUUCUUAAAGGGACACUUGGUGUUUAACCAAGGGAAGUUUGAGGCAAUAACAGGUCUGUGAUGCCCUUUAGAUGUUCUGGGCCGCACGCGCGCUACACUGAUAAAAUCAAUAAGUUUUUUAAUUUAAUUCCUUGACUGAAAAGUUUGGGUAAACUUUGAAAAUUUUAUCGUGCUGGGGAUUGACAAUUGUAAUUAUUUGUCAUGAACGAGGAAUUCCUAGUAAACGUAAGUCAUCAGCUUACGUUGAUUACGUCCCUGCCCUUUGUACACACCGCCCGUC
Molecule: ribosomal RNA, 524 nt
Filed under: Korotnevella heteracantha
Lineage: Eukaryota; Discosea; Flabellinia; Dactylopodida; Paramoebidae
Description: bacterial SSU rRNA
Rfam family: Eukaryotic small subunit ribosomal RNA
Source: RNAcentral